RNAcentral lists this ribosomal RNA (427 nucleotides) under uncultured bacterium. RNAcentral's name for it is "partial 16S ribosomal RNA". It matches the Rfam family "Bacterial small subunit ribosomal RNA", at positions 355 to 774 of the family's 1533-position model. The record is from RNAcentral.
UGGGGAAUAUUGCACAAUGGGCGCAAGCCUGAUGCAGCCAUGCCGCGUGUAUGAUGAAGGCCUUCGGGUUGUAAAGUACUUUCAGCGGGGAGGAAGGUGUUGAGGUUAAUAACCUCAGCAAUUGACGUUACCCGCAGAAGAAGCACCGGCUAACUCCGUGCCAGCAGCCGCGGUAAUACGGAGGGUGCAAGCGUUAAUCGGAAUUACUGGGCGUAAAGCGCACGCAGGCGGUCUGUCAAGUCGGAUGUGAAAUCCCCGGGCUCAACCUGGGAACUGCAUUCGAAACUGGCAGGCUAGAGUCUUGUAGAGGGGGGUAGAAUUCCAGGUGUAGCGGUGAAAUGCGUAGAGAUCUGGAGGAAUACCGGUGGCGAAGGCGGCCCCCUGGACAAAGACUGACGCUCAGGUGCGAAAGCGUGGGGAGCAAACA